RNAcentral lists this non-coding RNA (50 nucleotides) under Spodoptera frugiperda (fall armyworm). Lineage: Eukaryota; Metazoa; Arthropoda; Insecta; Lepidoptera; Noctuidae. The record is from RNAcentral.
ACACAGUGGUCACGAAUUUACUUCAAAGUAAAUUCGUGACCACUGUGUUA